GAUGAAUGCUGGCGGCGUGCCUAACACAUGCAAGUCGAGCGGCAGCGCGAGAAGUUUACUUCUUGGCGGCGAGCGGCGGACGGCUGAGUAACGCGUGGGAACGUGCCCCAAAGUGAGGAAUAACUGCCCGAAAGGGUGGCUAAUGCCGCAUAUGAUCUUCGGAUUAAAGGAUUUAUCCGCUUUGGGGGCGGCCCGCGUUAGAUUAGGUAGUUGGUAGGGUAAUGGCCUACCAAGCCGACGAUCUAUAGCUGGUCUGAGAGGAUGAUCAGCCAGACUGGAACUGAGACACGGUCCAGACUCCUACGGGAGGCAGCAGUGAGGAAUCUUCCACAAUGGGCGAAAGCCUGAUGGAGCAACGCCGCGUGCAGGAUGAAGGCCCUAGGGUCGUAAACUGCUUUUAUAAGUGAAGAAUAUGACGGUAACUUAUGAAUAAGCACCGGCUAACUACGUGCCAGCAGCCGCAGUAA
RNAcentral lists this ribosomal RNA (467 nucleotides) under uncultured bacterium. RNAcentral describes it as "partial 16S ribosomal RNA". It matches the Rfam family "Bacterial small subunit ribosomal RNA", at positions 28 to 523 of the family's 1533-position model. The record is from RNAcentral.